Molecule: long non-coding RNA, 727 nt
Filed under: Homo sapiens (human)
Lineage: Eukaryota; Metazoa; Chordata; Mammalia; Primates; Hominidae
Description: MYO3B antisense RNA 1
Source: RNAcentral
UUUGGAAAAGUAUAAACCUAAGGCAUCACCUUUACAGAAAAUAUCUUCCACGGAAACAUCUAAAGGCCACAGAUCAGCCCUGGGGUUCAGAGGGAUCCUGACAGCUACUCCUCAAGAUCCUCUCUGUUGUGAUUCAUCCCCCCGGGGCCCUACAGUUUCUCCUUCCUGACUCUUACAUUUCUUUGGAUGGCAUCAUUAUUUACCUGUCUCCUCCCAUAGUUAGGUGCCAAGCACUGUGGAUUCUGCCUCUCAGUGUCCAGACACCCAUUUUCCUUCCCACUGUUCCUUCCCCAUGGAGAAGCCUGUGGCUGGCUGACAGCAGAGAGAGAUGCUCAACUUGGAGAAGGUGUUACCUGGGCCAGGUGGGGAAGGUUUGUUUGCAGAGCAAAGAAGUGAAGGAAGUAUUAACCCUUUGCAUGGCCUCCUGAGAAUCCGACAAGACGUAAAUAGCCAAGAAUAUCUGUGAAACUUCAUCACUGAGUUACAAUAUUUAUCACUGCAAGUGUGUUGUUCAUUGACACUAUAAAGCCAUGUGGAAUUAAGCAGCCUUGAAACACAAAAUGGAGAAAGGCUAAGAGCUGAGAAUUGUUGCCUUCAGGGAAAUACAAUCAAUGUCAAGCAAACAACCACCCCAAAAUGGUUAGCUUUAUCAGCAUUCAGGCCUACAGUGAACGCAAAUGUUCCAGAUCUGAGUUUCAAUUUUUAAAGAAUAAACAUAUGCAAAUGA